Molecule: non-coding RNA, 87 nt
Organism: Sphaerobolus stellatus SS14
Lineage: Eukaryota; Fungi; Basidiomycota; Agaricomycetes; Geastrales; Sphaerobolaceae
Source: the annotation of a GenBank genome assembly
GGUCUGUUGGUCUAGAGGUAUGAUUCCUUCUUAGGGUGUUUGUUCGCCAUCUGGAGGAGGUCCCGGGUUCAAUUCCCGGAUAGACCC